AACGAACGCUGGCGGCAUGCCUAACACAUGCAAGUCGAACGAGACCUUCGUGUCUAGUUGCGCUCGUGUGCGUAACGCGUGGGAACCUUCCCUUAGGUUCCGAAUAACUCCCCGUAGGGGGUGCUAAUACCGGAUAAUCUCUUCUGACCAAAGAUUUAUCGCCUUUGGAUGGGCCCGCGUUCGAUUAGCUAGUGGGUAGGGUAAAAGCCUACCAAGGCGAGGAUCCAUAGCUGGUCUGAGAGGAUGAGCAGCCACACUGGGACUGAGACACGGCCCAGAAUCAUAGGGGAGGGAGGAGAGGGGAAUAUUGGACAAGGGGGGAAAGGAUGAUAACGCAAGGUCGGGGAAGUGAUGAAGGCCUUAGGGAUGUGCAGCUGUUAUACACGGGAUGAUAAUGACAGUACCGGGAGAAUAAGCACCGGCUAACUACGUG
This 433-nucleotide ribosomal RNA is filed under the name uncultured bacterium. Its description in RNAcentral is "partial 16S ribosomal RNA". It matches the Rfam family "Bacterial small subunit ribosomal RNA", at positions 29 to 507 of the family's 1533-position model. The record is from RNAcentral.